This 514-nucleotide ribosomal RNA is filed under the name uncultured bacterium. RNAcentral's name for it is "partial 16S ribosomal RNA". It matches the Rfam family "Bacterial small subunit ribosomal RNA", at positions 28 to 523 of the family's 1533-position model. The record is from RNAcentral.
GACGAACGCUGGCGGCGUGCCUAAUACAUGCAAGUCGAGCGAACAGAAAAGGAGCUUGCUCCUUUGACGUUAGCGGCGGACGGGUGAGUAACGCGUGGGCAACCUACCCUAUAGUUUGGGAUAACUCCGGGAAACCGGGGCUAAUACCGAAUAAUGUCUUUUGCUUCAUGGUGAAAGACUGGAAGACGGUUUCGGCUGUCGCUAUAGGAUGGGCCCGCGGCGCAUUAGCUAGUUGGUGAGGUAACGGCUCACCAAGGCGACGAUGCGUAGCCGACCUGAGAGGGUGAUCGGCCACACUGGGACUGAGACAUGGCCCAGACUCCUACGGGAGGCAGCAGUAGGGAAUCUUCCACAAUGGGCGAAAGCCUGAUGGAGCAACGCCGCGUGAGUGAAGAAGGUUUUCGGAUCGUAAAACUCUGUUGUAAGGGAAGAACAAGUACAGUAGUAACUGGCUGUACCUUGACGGUACCUUAUUAGAAAGCCACGGCUAACUACGUGCCAGCCGCCGCCGUAA